CAGCAGUAGGGAAUCUUCGGCAAUGGACGGAAGUCUGACCGAGCAACGCCGCGUGAGUGAAGAAGGUUUUCGGAUCGUAAAGCUCUGUUGUAAGAGAAGAACGAGUGUGAGAGUGGAAAGUUCACACUGUGACGGUAUCUUACCAGAAAGGGACGGCUAACUACGUG
RNAcentral lists this ribosomal RNA (167 nucleotides) under uncultured bacterium. RNAcentral's name for it is "partial 16S ribosomal RNA". It matches the Rfam family "Bacterial small subunit ribosomal RNA", at positions 349 to 507 of the family's 1533-position model. The record is from RNAcentral.